RNAcentral lists this ribosomal RNA (253 nucleotides) under uncultured bacterium. RNAcentral describes it as "partial 16S ribosomal RNA". It matches the Rfam family "Bacterial small subunit ribosomal RNA", at positions 524 to 776 of the family's 1533-position model. The record is from RNAcentral.
GACGAACCGUACGAACGUUAUUCGGAAUCACUGGGCUUAAAGGGUGCGUAGGCGGCGCGGAAAGUAGGGUGUGAAAUCCCUCGGCUCAACCGAGGAACUGCGCCCUAAACUACCGUGCUCGAGGGAGAUAGAGGUGAGCGGAACUUAGGGUGGAGCGGUGAAAUGCGUUGAUAUCCUAAGGAACACCGGUGGCGAAAGCGGCGCGCUGGAUCCCUUCUGACGCUGAGGCGCGAAAGCCAGGGGAGCAAACGGG